CAAUAACGUAUAUUAACGUUGUUGCAGUUAAAAAGCUCGUAGUUGGAUUUCUGGAGGGAGCGUCGGCCCGUAUUUACGAGUGCGUGACGUCUCUGUCCAUCCUUGCGGGAAGGCACGGCAUUGAUUUGUUGUGUCGGAUCGCAUCAUUUACUGUGAAAAAAUUAGAGUGUUCAAAGCAGGCUUUCGCUUGAAUACAUUAGCAUGGAAUAAUAAGAUAGGACUUUGGUGCUAUUUUGUUGGUUGAGCCUAAAGUAAUGAUUAAUAGGGAUAGUUGGGGGCACCUGUAUUGCGUUGUCAGAGGUGAAAUUCUUGGAUUUACGCAAGACAAACAGCUGCGAAAGCGUCUGCCAAGGAUGUUUUCAUUAA
Molecule: ribosomal RNA, 366 nt
Filed under: uncultured eukaryote
Lineage: Eukaryota
Description: partial 18S ribosomal RNA
Rfam family: Eukaryotic small subunit ribosomal RNA
Source: RNAcentral